UUUGUAUCUAGGGCAUCACCUUUACCUUUGUAUGCAGUUGAUUAUGGUGCUGCUACACCAGUCAUUGAGCAUGACUCCUUCGUAAACUACCUGAUUUACAAUGCGGGUGAUUAGACUAUAACCGAUACCACCAGCUAUUUUAAGCAUUUCAGUGGUGAUUCCUGAUGGGCCAGGGGCUUUUC
Long non-coding RNA from Octopus sinensis (East Asian common octopus), 182 nucleotides. RefSeq lists it as uncharacterized. The transcript has 3 exons. The record is from RefSeq and is a predicted model, not a curated record. NCBI's taxonomy places the organism in Eukaryota, Metazoa, Mollusca, Cephalopoda, Octopoda, Octopodidae.